RNAcentral lists this transfer RNA (84 nucleotides) under Fasciola hepatica (liver fluke). It matches the Rfam family "tRNA". Rfam says of the family: Transfer RNA (tRNA) molecules are approximately 80 nucleotides in length. Lineage: Eukaryota; Metazoa; Platyhelminthes; Trematoda; Plagiorchiida; Fasciolidae. The record is from Rfam by way of RNAcentral.
GGCCUCGUAACUUAGCUGGUAGAGCACUCGCAGUACGGAAGCGGGGGUGGCAACCAUGCGUGGGUUCGAAUCCCGCCGUGGUCA